Molecule: ribosomal RNA, 178 nt
Filed under: Strumaria tenella
Lineage: Eukaryota; Viridiplantae; Streptophyta; Magnoliopsida; Asparagales; Amaryllidaceae
Description: 5.8S ribosomal RNA
Rfam family: 5.8S ribosomal RNA (bases 2-157)
About the family: 5.8S ribosomal RNA (5.8S rRNA) is a component of the large subunit of the eukaryotic ribosome. It is transcribed by RNA polymerase I as part of the 45S precursor that also contains 18S and 28S rRNA.
Source: RNAcentral
UGACUCUCGGCAACGGAUAUCUCGGCUCCCGCAUCGAUGAAGGACGUAGCGAAAUGCGAUACUUGGUGUGAAUUGCAGAAUCCCGUGAGCCAUCGAGUCUUUGAACGCAAGUUGCGCCUUAAGCUAUCUGGCUAAGGGCACGCCUGCCUGGGCAUCAUGCCUUGCGACGCUUCGUGUU